GCCUGGGUGGCUCAGUCAGUUAAGCACCUGACUUUGGCUCAGGUCCUGAUCUCAGAGUCUGGGAUCAAGCCCCAGCCCAAGCA
This 83-nucleotide transfer RNA is filed under the name Canis lupus familiaris (dog). It matches the Rfam family "tRNA". From Rfam's summary of the family: Transfer RNA (tRNA) molecules are approximately 80 nucleotides in length. Their secondary structure includes four short double-helical elements and three loops (D, anti-codon, and T loops). Further hydrogen bonds mediate the characteristic L-shaped molecular structure. tRNAs have two regions of fundamental functional importance: the anti-codon, which is responsible for specific mRNA codon recognition, and the 3' end, to which the tRNAs corresponding amino acid is attached (by aminoacyl-tRNA synthetases). tRNAs cope with the degeneracy of the genetic code in two manners: having more than one tRNA (with a specific anti-codon) for a particular amino acid; and 'wobble' base-pairing, i.e. permitting non-standard base-pairing at the 3rd anti-codon position. The record is from Rfam by way of RNAcentral. RNAcentral also lists the same sequence under 2 other names. Lineage: Eukaryota; Metazoa; Chordata; Mammalia; Carnivora; Canidae.